This 253-nucleotide ribosomal RNA is filed under the name uncultured bacterium. RNAcentral describes it as "partial 16S ribosomal RNA". It matches the Rfam family "Bacterial small subunit ribosomal RNA", at positions 524 to 776 of the family's 1533-position model. The record is from RNAcentral.
UACAGAGGCCUCGAGCGUUAGGCGGAAUCACUGGGCUUAAAGCGUGUGUAGGUGGAGUUCUAAGUACCUUGUGAAAUCCCACGGCUCAACCGUGGAACUGCUGGGUAUACUGGUUCUCUUGAGGUACCUAGGGGCGAGCGGAACAAGUGGUGGAGCGGUGAAAUGCGUAGAUAUCAGGAAGAACACCCGUGGCGAAGGCGGCUCUCUGGAACGCAACUGACGCUGAGACGCGAAAGCGUGGGGAGCAAACAGG